CUGACGUACACCACUUAAUUGUUUUCUCUGUAGUUCACUUUCCAUUCUGUGUGGAUACUGUGAAGAUAUAGGAGACUCCUGCCAGCUCAGGACACAAGGAAGACUCGAUGUGAAGGGUUUCUUACAACAGACAAGCUUCUUAGUUCAACUGAGAAAAAGCACCUACCUCAAGUCCGCUGAUUUUAUCCCCACUUGACGAGGACACAAUGCUGUCUGAGGAGUUUCCUGAAGAGCCAGAGUCCGAGCCUGGGCCUGUAGACUUGAUCCAUGCUGCACAUCGACCAGAGGAUCUGUUGUGGCAGUUCACUGAUGAGGUACUGAGCAAAUUUCUGUAGCUGAUCUCUCUGUAGCCGUGACAAUGACUCGCU
Long non-coding RNA from Penaeus monodon (black tiger shrimp), 368 nucleotides. RefSeq lists it as uncharacterized. The record is from RefSeq and is a predicted model, not a curated record. Lineage: Eukaryota; Metazoa; Arthropoda; Malacostraca; Decapoda; Penaeidae. The transcript is spliced from 3 exons.